This 343-nucleotide unclassified non-coding RNA is filed under the name Hevea brasiliensis (rubber tree). The record is from RNAcentral. Lineage: Eukaryota; Viridiplantae; Streptophyta; Magnoliopsida; Malpighiales; Euphorbiaceae.
CCUAAUAUAAGCGACAAAAUAAUUAAUAAUUUCUUUAAGUAAAACUUGGCGAUUUGAGGUUAAACUACUAAAAUAAGAUAGAUCCCUGUAGAACUCAUUUACUGUCCGGACAAAAACAAGGGAAUCAUUUUCAAAAAUAAUAUUUUGCAAGGACCUCUUUUUCACCCAACUAAUGGCCUCCCGCAAAGAUAUUGCUUCUGCAACUGUUGCAUCUGGACACUAGCAUGAGAGACCUGGCAUGCAUUUAAAACUUUCCUUUCAUGAUCAUGAACUACCCAGCCUGCCCCAAUCUUCCCCACCCCAGCAAAAACAGAUGCAUCAAUGUUGCAUUCCAACAUACCAA